CGAAUCCACUUAUAAACGAACAAAGUGUCUUUAUCCACUGCAGGAAGAAUCUCAACUUACCAAGAUUACUCGUGACAGUGCAAAGAUAACAGUGGAGCAAGUCCAUGGAUUAAUGUCACAGGUCAUCAAGGACAUUCUUUUCAAUUCCGUUCGGCAAUCCAACAAAUCUCAGGCAGAGUCAUCUAGUCCUGAACCAAUGGUCGAAACAUGAGCUGAUGCCAAUCGAAACCACUCAUUUUUCUGGCGUGGCUCUUGCUCAUUUAUGUCCCGAAGAAAAUUGAUUUACGGGUUUCCUUUUGUAUUAGCAUCUUCAAAUGUAUUGCAAUUACUAGACUUAGUUGAAAAAGAUGGCUCCCAUCAUUGCACUUUUGAAACGAGCGAUGUUUUUGGCUCUAUUCUUAGACUCGAAUGGGUUCAUCUAUAUCCUUCAAAGAAAGAUCAUAUGCGUUUUAGUAGUAAUUUAUUUUUGUAGAGAGGACUCUUGUGAGACUAUUACGAUUUCCAAAAGCCCCUUUUAAUUUAUUGUUUUUAUUUUUGA
This is a non-coding RNA of Erythranthe guttata (spotted monkey flower), 538 nucleotides long. NCBI's taxonomy places the organism in Eukaryota, Viridiplantae, Streptophyta, Magnoliopsida, Lamiales, Phrymaceae. The record is from RefSeq and is a predicted model, not a curated record.